UACGUAGGUGGCAAGCGUUGUCCGGAUUUACUGGGCGUAAAGAGCGCGCAGGCGGUCGAGUAAGUCGAAUGUGAAAGCCCCCGGCUUAACUGGGGAGGGUCAUUCGAUACUGUUCGACUUGAAGGCAGGAGAGGGCAGCAGAAUUCCCGGUGUAGUGGUGAAAUGCGUAGAUAUUGGGAAGAACACCUGAGGCGAAGGCGGGUCGCUGGGCUGACACUGACGCUGAGGCGCGAAAGCCAGGGGAGCGAACGGG
RNAcentral lists this ribosomal RNA (253 nucleotides) under uncultured bacterium. RNAcentral's name for it is "partial 16S ribosomal RNA". It matches the Rfam family "Bacterial small subunit ribosomal RNA", at positions 524 to 776 of the family's 1533-position model. The record is from RNAcentral.